CUAGCCCCUUCUUCAGUGGAUCCUUUAUCACCCCAGCGAACCUAAGGAAAGCCAGAAUUCAGACGUAAAUGCACUGUAUGCAAAGGACAAGGAAACCGUUGCAAAUAACAGUAGCGGAAGAAGUUUGCAUUUGGACGAAGUUCUGAAUAAACGAGAGGGGAGGGACAUCCUGCCUGGAGUUGCCAGGCAUGAAAAGAGAAGAAUCCAAGUAAGAAAAACCAGAGAAGACUGACCUUCCGCCCUGAGGGAAAGAAUUAAGAGCAUCACUGCACACUGCUUGGCAGCUGCCGGAAGAAUGGCAGAAGAGUACAGCACAGAGGAGCAACAAAAACAGACAACUGCAUUACCACAUGAACUGAAAAGACGGAAGAAAUGUAAUGACUAAUCCAGCAAGUUUUUCAUUGGCCACAGCUCAGAAACCACAUUUAACUGCCGGGAAGGCUCAUGAUAUAAAAUAAAGUAGAAGUAGUAACAGACAACCUCCCUAGAUUUCUGCUGGAACACUCCUGUGGAGAACGAGACAGAAGAGAGUCUUUUUAUUAGGGAAGAGCUUAUAGUUCUUGCCUCAGAAACCCCAGACCAUGAGGAUGCAGACAGGGGCUGAGGACUUCUUGCCCUAGGAUAGUCUGGGGCCUCACGGAGUACACCAAAGCUUUUGAUUGCAUGGGCUUCGGCACGGUCAGGAGAGAAGGCCGGUUCCUCUGCUGCCCCAGGUUCCGCAAGCCCGAGACAAGACAAGGAAUACAGUAGCAGCCUGGAAGCCAUCUCCACUUCCCAAGUCCUCAGCGCUGUUGCUGAACUGGAUGAAUAAUAAACUUCACCCAUUUAAAAACCCCAACAUGCAAGGAGAUGGAAGGAUAGUUAGUGAAACAGCACUGCUGACUGCUGCUAGAAGGAUAAAGAGCGCGCUCAGAUGAAAAAAGAUGCAACGUGUGCAAGGGAUUAUGAAGACAAUAUGGGAUUUCCAACUUGAGAGCCCAUAAUGGACUACAAAUACCAAUUUUAGUGAUAGUACUUUUAAAAGGGUCCUUGAUUUCGGGAUGUCUGCAUACUAUUACGGCCAACAACUUUCAAGUAACGGAGAAAAGGCUUUUACCAAAGACUUCACAGAAAUAUAACACGCUGAGCAGAAAGCCAAUGAGCAGUACGCCAGCAUGCUGAUGUUGCUUCAUGUGCGUGCAGGUCUCAGAAAGCCAGAAGCACUGCUAAGAGUGCAGUCCACAGCGUUGAAGCUGGUCUCUUUUUCCAUUUAUUGCGUAUCACUAAUGAAAGAAAACUCCCUCAACAGAUGGCUUAUGUCACAUGUAGCUCUCCUGUUACUUAACGUAUUUCCUAUGGUAUCUGUGUUUCCCAGCAUGCUACGAGAUAAUCGUGAGUCGCACACCCAGUGACUUUCUCUCGUAGUCUUUACUCACCACUUUGCAGCAGAGCGGCCAGAACCACCAGAGCAGACCGAGUGCCACUAACAGUAGCAGCACAAGAACAGCAAUAAGCGCCGCUACUCCACUAGACUGCAAAGAAAGCAGAAAGGCAGUGUCAGUGGAUGUUGCAAAUAACUGCUGCCUGGUUUUCCCACUCACCCCAAAACAGCUUCCUACUGACCGACACAAAUCCCACGCAAAUUGUUCCCAUGGGUUGGAUCCUAUUCUUGCCAAUGCAGAAAUUCCUCACAAAGGAUCAAGAAGGGGGUCUUAGCCAAAUGCGUAUCUGGCACAAGUUCAGUGACACGCUUCGUUGUAAGUCUCCUCAGUUCCGCUAGUUACGUAGAAGGUAAGCUAGGAUGCUUCAAUAGGAGCUGCGUGUCACAAUAACUGACGUAUCAACACUAAAAAGAGGGAGGAGGUGGUAAGAUGCUAUUCGUGUUUCUCAUUCCCUACGAGUUCUGGGGCCUGCAAGUCUCAGGUACUCGAAGGGACUGAACACAGCGUGCUGAACACAGCAGUACUGGUGGACAUAUAAAAUUGAAAAUGACAGAACUUUGAAAACUACUUUCUUCUGCCUACCUGUAAAGCACACUUCAAAUUAAGUCAUUCAGUCAUCGGUAACGGGCCCAAGUUGCCCCAAUGCAAGCCAGGAUUAUUUCUGCUGAGGUCAGUGGAUUCAUUUUGAUGUAAAACUGAUAUCCUUGAGAUAAGAACGAGGCCCAACUUGAAGAAAAGAAAGGGUACCUCGACUGCUAAGCAACGAGCUGUUACGACACAAACGGGAAAAGUCUCCUCCUAAGUCUGUGGAUAAGAGGUGCCCUUCUUCUCCCGUGAGGACACAGGUCUGUAUGGAUUGGUAGGUGCGGGGAAUUUUAAGGAAUCUAUACUAACAAUACAUAUAUAACGCUUUUAUGCUUAUAACCCAUACGUCUGGGGCAUUCACACUGUACAGACUGUAGCGCACUAAAUCCCUGUAGUAGUGCUGUUUGAACCUGAAGGCACCAUCCCAAGAAGUUCUGAACAAGUGUUACUGCUUCCAGCAAUACUGCUUUUAAUGAAGAAAUGAGCAGCCCAUCUCCCACCACCUCAAACUCACAUCCUGUAGGUGCUUUUAUUCUUACACUUGGUGUUCUGUGCUGCUGUGCUGGUUUAGAACAACGCUGAGAAAAAGGCAACAGUGACCUUAUGAAAAGAGAAGUUAUUCAGACUUCAGCUGGGGAAAAAGGAAAGGAGGGACACCCAGGGCAUCACUAAGGCUCGAGCAGAGCGUGAGUAAUUCUGUCAAAGUGAGAAAAGUUGCACUGGAGAUACACCAUUGCAAAUGGUAGGUGAAACAGAGCUUUAUUCCAAGUACGCGUAGGUGCAGCGAGGCAUACGCAUUUACGAGAAACAGGUAAGAUGCAUGCCACAGUGCCUAGAUGCAAUAUAUUUUUUGUUUGUUUUCACUGCAGGAAUGUGUGUUCGCUAGGGGAGGCUGUAGCUUCUGACUCUUAUAUACCAGUUAGCCAUCAGCUGCUUAGCUAUCAGAAUUAGUGGAACAAUUCUAGCAUUGACCCAUUUCUUGCAGUUGCCCAUCUGCUACUAUGGAAACAGCAGUGCUCCUUGUAUGGAGCUGUCUUUGCUGCAACACGUAUGAAAGG
Long non-coding RNA from Harpia harpyja (harpy eagle), 3064 nucleotides. RefSeq lists it as uncharacterized. The transcript has 4 exons. NCBI's taxonomy places the organism in Eukaryota, Metazoa, Chordata, Aves, Accipitriformes, Accipitridae. The record is from RefSeq and is a predicted model, not a curated record.